UUUCCGUAGGUGAACCUGCGGAAGGAUCAUUACCUUUCAAUGCAGCAGAAUUGGGAUGGUUGAGUUUCUCGCCUCUCAAUUCUGCCUGUAUUCUACCCUUGUUUGUCAUAUACUAUUAUUUCCUCGGCAGGCUUGCCUGCCGAGUGAAACCCAUUAUAACCUAUUUAAUUUUCAAUCAGCGUCUGAAAAAAUUAAUAAUUACAACUUUCAACAACGGAUCUCUUGGUUCUG
RNAcentral lists this unclassified non-coding RNA (231 nucleotides) under root metagenome. RNAcentral's name for it is "partial contains small subunit ribosomal RNA, internal transcribed spacer 1, and 5.8S ribosomal RNA". The record is from RNAcentral.